This 439-nucleotide ribosomal RNA is filed under the name uncultured bacterium. RNAcentral describes it as "partial 16S ribosomal RNA". It matches the Rfam family "Bacterial small subunit ribosomal RNA", at positions 339 to 795 of the family's 1533-position model. The record is from RNAcentral.
CUACGGGAGGCUCCAGUGAGGAAUAUUGGACAAUGGGGGAAACCCUGAUCCAGCCAUGCCGCGUGAGUGAAGAAGGCCCUAGGGUUGUAAAGCUCUUUCAAUAGUGAAGAUAAUGACGGUAGCUAUAGAAGAAGCCCCGGCUAAAUUCGUGCCAGCAGCCGCGGUAAUACGAAUGGGGCAAGCGUUGUUCGGAAUCACUGGGCUUAAAGCGUAUGCAGGCGGACUUGAAAGUCAGAAGUGAAAUCCCGGGGCUCAACCCCGGAACUGCUUUUGAAACUCCGAGUCUAGAAUCCUGGAGAGGUCGGGAGAAUUCCUAGUGUAGAGGUGAAAUUCGCAGAUAUUAGGAGGAAUACCAGUGGCGUAGGCGCCCGACUGGACAGGUAUUGACGCUCAGAUACGAAAGCGUGGGGAUCAAACAGGAUUAGAUACCCUAGUAGUC